Pseudophryne corroboree (corroboree frog) is the source of this 519-nucleotide long non-coding RNA. RefSeq lists it as uncharacterized. The record is from RefSeq and is a predicted model, not a curated record. The transcript has 3 exons. NCBI's taxonomy places the organism in Eukaryota, Metazoa, Chordata, Amphibia, Anura, Myobatrachidae.
UGUUGGUUUGCACUGGGGGGAUUACACACCUGCAGUUCCACUCACACCCGGCAAUUACUGAUUCUGGACUUCAACACACAGAGAAGCAGUGGAUUGCAAAAGCCGCUUCUUAGUAAAGUUACCCCAAAGCCUGAAUGCAAGUUACCCCAAAGUGUCCUGACACUUUACAAUGAGCUAAAAUUAGACCGUCCGGCAAAAUGACAUUUGCACUAUAACGAAGUAACCACACCGCUGAAGUGUUACUUUACAUGGGAGGCCGCGCUAUACCUUCAAUGAUUGAUUCUCCAGCAUUGUUGCCAAAUGAUAGUCUCUUGGAUGUUUCUUUUAUGGUGAUCUACAUGCUUGGUAUUUGUACAUGAUUCUGUUUCAUCCAAUUGGAGGUAAUUUGUGUGUAUUUUUUUCUAUAAUUACAUAAAAAAAAUGUAUAGUGAUUGUAACAUUGCAAUACCUAACUGUAUUUAAGGAAACUGUAUUAUAACAAGACCUAUUAGCUUUAUACAAAAUAAAGAAAAAUGCUGA